Molecule: ribosomal RNA, 465 nt
Filed under: Vreelandella stevensii
Lineage: Bacteria; Pseudomonadati; Pseudomonadota; Gammaproteobacteria; Oceanospirillales; Halomonadaceae
Description: partial 16S ribosomal RNA
Rfam family: Bacterial small subunit ribosomal RNA
Source: RNAcentral
CCUACGGGGUGCAGCAGUGGGGAAUAUUGGACAAUGGGCGAAAGCCUGAUCCAGCCAUGCCGCGUGUGUGAAGAAGGCCUUCGGGUUGUAAAGCACUUUCAGUGGGGAAGAAAGCCUUGGGGCUAAUACCCUCGAGGAAGGACAUCACCCACAGAAGAAGCACCGGCUAACUCCGUGCCAGCAGCCGCGGUAAUACGGAGGGUGCGGGCGUUAAUCGGAAUUACUGGGCGUAAAGCGCGCGUAGGCGGUCUGAUAAGCCGGUUGUGAAAGCCCCGGGCUCAACCUGGGAACGGCAUCCGGAACUGUCAGGCUAGAGUGCAGGAGAGGAAGGUAGAAUUCCCGGUGUAGCGGUGAAAUGCGUAGAGAUCGGGAGGAAUACCAGUGGCGAAGGCGGCCUUCUGGACUGACACUGACGCUGAGGUGCGAAAGCGUGGGUAGCAAACAGGAUUAGAUACCCGAGUAGUC